UCAUAAAAAUUUUGAAUUCUCGCCCGUC
Molecule: non-coding RNA, 28 nt
Filed under: Bombyx mori (domestic silkworm)
Lineage: Eukaryota; Metazoa; Arthropoda; Insecta; Lepidoptera; Bombycidae
Source: RNAcentral